UCAAUGCACUGAAAGUGACUA
RNAcentral lists this microRNA (21 nucleotides) under Brassica napus (rape). Its description in RNAcentral is "bna-miR161". Its record names the gene bna-miR161. RNAcentral also lists the same sequence under 1 other name. Lineage: Eukaryota; Viridiplantae; Streptophyta; Magnoliopsida; Brassicales; Brassicaceae. The record is from miRBase by way of RNAcentral.